Molecule: unclassified non-coding RNA, 309 nt
Filed under: Hevea brasiliensis (rubber tree)
Lineage: Eukaryota; Viridiplantae; Streptophyta; Magnoliopsida; Malpighiales; Euphorbiaceae
Source: RNAcentral
UAACAAUAAAUGUAGUUGACAAAGUGAUAUGUCAAUUCUAAAAUAAAUAUUGUGAAUGCGCUAAUUGUGGGAAGUUAGAAUUUUAGUAAAAGAAAACUAAAUAAGUUUGAGUUAGAAACUUAUAGCUGCAUUAUUACAUCUAAGUUGAACAUUUAAAAUAGUUCCUGCAGAUGAUUGAUAUGUUCUUUUCUUCAGACUUCAUUAAGUUGUUGUAGACUUCAUUUUAGUUUCUUUCAUCCAGAUACUACUAUGAAUCAUCCGGAGUAGAAUUUUAGAAAUUUGUGUCGAUAAAAGUACCUGAUAAGUUUG